Molecule: ribosomal RNA, 237 nt
Filed under: Glomeromycotina sp.
Lineage: Eukaryota; Fungi; Glomeromycota
Description: partial small subunit ribosomal RNA
Rfam family: Eukaryotic small subunit ribosomal RNA (bases 40-237)
Source: RNAcentral
GGGUCAGUAGGUUGGUCGUGCCACCGGUACGUACUGGUCUCACUGAUUCCUCCUUCCUGAAGAACCGUAAUGCAAUUAAUUUGGUGUUGCGGGGAAACAGGACUGUUACUUUGAAAAAAUUAGAGUGUUUAAAGCAAGCUAACGCUUGAAUACAUUAGCAUGGAAUAAUGAAAUAGGACGAUCGAUCCUAUUUUGUUGGUUUCUAGGAUUGACGUAAUUAUUAAUAGGGAAGUUGGG